AAGUCGUAACAAGGUUUCAUUAGAACAAGUUUGAAGAUUGUAAUGAUUCUUCCGCAGUAUACACUUGCCGAAGCCUUUGCAGCCACGCAAGUGGUAGAUAUAGCAACGACUAUAAAUAACAGUAAUACCGCUAUGCAAGUCAGUAGUUAUAUAACUCUGGCGACACUUUCGAAUUGACGGGGACACCCUAAAGCCUAUUGCACAAACUUAGGUAGGAAACUAGCCUAAGGGCCCAUGCUAAUUACAUGGGGUUGUAAAAGACAAUAUGGAUACUUCUUUUACUUUGGUAAAAGUAAAUAUGGGCAAUCCGCAGCGAAGCCUCUAAGUUUUUAAAUUAAAAAUAUGAGGAACGUUCACAGACUAAGUGGAAGUGGGUGAAGUUUUCUACUAGAAACUUUGCUUAAGAUAUAGUCGGGCCCUCUAAGAAAUUAGAGGGGUAAGUAUACUUGCAAUUAGAAGUUUACUCCGUUCCGUAGGUGAACCUGCGGAAGGAUCAUUAUGGCAAAAUAUAUCCGGAAGGUACUCUAGGGUACCUUCUCUGGCCAAACCUUGCAAAUUUGAACUUAAUAGUUACCUUGGUAGGCUUAACUGCCUGUGGAUAAAUCUAAAUUCUUUAAUAAACUGGCUGUAAUUAAUGCAACUGUCUGAAAUAAUGUUAAUAUUAAAA
RNAcentral lists this non-coding RNA (667 nucleotides) under plant metagenome. RNAcentral describes it as "partial contains small subunit ribosomal RNA and internal transcribed spacer 1". The stretch from base 74 to 435 matches the Rfam family "Group I catalytic intron". Rfam says of the family: Group I catalytic introns are large self-splicing ribozymes. They catalyse their own excision from mRNA, tRNA and rRNA precursors in a wide range of organisms. The core secondary structure consists of 9 paired regions (P1-P9). The record is from RNAcentral.